Molecule: ribosomal RNA, 139 nt
Filed under: uncultured eukaryote
Lineage: Eukaryota
Description: partial 18S ribosomal RNA
Rfam family: Eukaryotic small subunit ribosomal RNA
Source: RNAcentral
UGGUGGAGUGAUUUGUCUGGUUAAUUCCGUUAACGAACGAGACCCCGCCUGCUAAAUAGCCCUGGUACGCAUUUGCGUAGCAGCGGCGCUUCUUAGAGGGACUUUCAGUGAUUAACUGAAGGAAGUUGGGGCAAUAACA